This 61-nucleotide microRNA precursor is filed under the name Euprymna scolopes. RNAcentral's name for it is "Esc-Mir-87-o6_pre stem-loop". The record is from RNAcentral. Lineage: Eukaryota; Metazoa; Mollusca; Cephalopoda; Sepiida; Sepiolidae.
CGGCCUGAAAUUUUGUCUCGAACCUCUCCAGUCCAGAAGGUGAGCAAAGUUUCAGGUGUAG